Molecule: ribosomal RNA, 447 nt
Filed under: uncultured bacterium
Lineage: Bacteria
Description: partial 16S ribosomal RNA
Rfam family: Bacterial small subunit ribosomal RNA
Source: RNAcentral
AACGAACGCUGGCGGCAGGCUUAACACAUGCAAGUCGAACGCCCCGCAAGGGGAGUGGCAGACGGGUGAGUAACGCGUGGGAAUCUACCUAGUUCUACGGAACAACACAGGGAAACUUGUGCUAAUACCGUAUACGCCCUACGGGGGAAAGAUUUAUCGGAAUUAGAUGAGCCCGCGUAAGAUUAGCUAGUUGGUGGGGUAAUGGCCUACCAAGGCGACGAUCUUUAGCUGGUCUGAGAGGAUGAUCAGCCACACUGGGACUGAGACACGGCCCAGACUCCUACGGGAGGCAGCAGUGGGGAAUAUUGGACAAUGGGCGAAAGCCUGAUCCAGCCAUGCCGCGUGAGCGAUGAAGGCCUUAGGGUUGUAAGGCUCUUUCAGUAGGGAAGAUAAUGACGGUACCUACAGAAGAAGCCCCGGCUAACUUCGUGCCAGCCGCCGCGGUAA